UAUUAGGUUGGUGCAAAAGUAUUUGUGGCUUUUGCCAUUGAAUAUAAUGCACAACCUAUAAAAAGUAAGCACAAA
Molecule: microRNA precursor, 75 nt
Filed under: Chlorocebus sabaeus (green monkey)
Lineage: Eukaryota; Metazoa; Chordata; Mammalia; Primates; Cercopithecidae
Description: miRNA (ENSCSAG00000026499.1)
Source: RNAcentral